Molecule: long non-coding RNA, 397 nt
Filed under: Ananas comosus (pineapple)
Lineage: Eukaryota; Viridiplantae; Streptophyta; Magnoliopsida; Poales; Bromeliaceae
Description: long non-coding RNA (ACOM_LNC008424)
Source: RNAcentral
AAUAACCCCUUAAUCCCCAUGUUAUUUUCAAAUAUCCUAAAAAAUGGAUGGGGUUAGUAAUUCCAACUCAAAUAAAUUAUUCCGGAUUAGCUAACUCCACCUAACCCUACCAAAUUCCAACCAAACACUAUUUUCUAUUCAUAAUAAUCCACUAUCUUUCUUAUCCCACAUACUCAAAUCAAUCAUUAUCCUUCUUUAUCAAUCGUUAUCUUCUUAUCCCACCUACUCCAACCAAAUACUAUUUUUCAUUAUUCUAAACUAACUUCAACUCCCAACCAAACAAAAAAAAACUUUAACCCCAUUUUAAUCCUAAACUUAACUCUAUCCCUGGAAUAACUACUUUUUUCUUAACCCCGAACCAAACGAAGGUUAAAUAUACUGAACUAGUGAAGACACC